CAGGCGGGAAUACUUACCACUAUACUACAACGACUCUGUU
Molecule: small RNA, 40 nt
Filed under: Arabidopsis thaliana (thale cress)
Lineage: Eukaryota; Viridiplantae; Streptophyta; Magnoliopsida; Brassicales; Brassicaceae
Description: ATSL186410
Source: RNAcentral